CGCGUAGGCGGGCGACCAAGUCAGGGGUGAAAUCGUUCGGCCCAACCGGACAAGGGCCCCUGAUACUGGUUGUCUCGAGGGAGGUAGGGGUCGAUGGAACUUCCGGUGGAGCGGUGAAAUGCGUAGAUAUCGGAAGGAACGCCGGUGGCGAAAGCGAUCGACUGGACCUCUUCUGACGCUGAGGCGCGAAAGCCAGGGGAGCAAACG
Molecule: ribosomal RNA, 207 nt
Filed under: uncultured bacterium
Lineage: Bacteria
Description: partial 16S ribosomal RNA
Rfam family: Bacterial small subunit ribosomal RNA
Source: RNAcentral